UUUUGAAUUAUUGGGGGGAAAAAAUUAAAAAUAAUUUUUCAAAUUUUUUUAUUUUUUUUUUGACUUUUUUUUUUUAUUUGGCAAAAUUUUAUUUUAUUUUUUUUUUGAUUUUUUUGCAAGAUUUUAUUUAAAAAAAAAUUUGGCAAAAUUUUAGUUAUCCCCGGGUGAACAAGGGUGGGGUGUUAUUUACACCGGGGUAAUUAACCAAUCAGAUUGCAGUAUUUC
This 225-nucleotide long non-coding RNA is filed under the name Mytilus galloprovincialis (Mediterranean mussel). The record is from RNAcentral. Lineage: Eukaryota; Metazoa; Mollusca; Bivalvia; Mytilida; Mytilidae.